CCCAACUAAUUAACCCAUUUCACUACCCCGUUUCACCCUAACCCAUUUCAAACACUCUCCUCUCAUUCUCUCUCCUCAACCCAUUUCACCCUCCUCCUUCCUCCUCCUCCCUCAUCGAUACCAGCAAAUUCGCCCCUAACACUUCCCUCUCCCUCUCUCUCAGCUGAUACACUCAAACUCCCUUAACUUUCUCUCUCCUCUCUUCUGUGUUCAACCACCGCGACCAUCGUUCUUCGCUUACCCAACAACCACGGUGAAAUUUCGAGAAACGCCAAGAACUUCAUACGUGUCACGCCGAAGCUGCGGUUGUUACUGUUUCUCUGUCUAUCUCUUCCCUCUUCACUCGCGAUCCACUCCUUGGAACGCAUGUCAAGCAAUCUUUUCAACUACUUUUAUACGAGCAAUCAAGGCAGCUUUGAAGGUAAAUAACUCUUUAGUUUGGAUCGAAAUUGUGCUUGUAUAUGCUAACAGUAUACUUCAUGCUUUGUUUAGAUUGUGGGGGAGUGAAUUUAAUCAUUUAUAUGGUUAGGAUUGGUCAUGAAAGCUAGAGGCACUCAAUAUAUUUAUAAUCUUCAAGCAAGUUAUAUAGUGUCUUCAUACAUAUUUUCUUCAAGGCUCUAUUAUAAUCUUCCCAGUCGCAUGUCCACUCAUCAUUUUACUCCAAGCAUCUUCAGCUUUACUCAAAGGGUGUUUUGAGUCUACAACUGUUUUGAGCUUCCCUUCCUUCACCAAAUUUACCACAUAUUCGAAGUUUUCUGUUUUUGGUAUCAAAAACAGAGGCACCAACUGCUUCUUGGAGAAUGUCAGCAUCUUCAUGGCAAAUGUCAUUAUUGCACUUGGGCUGGGAGUUAUGUCUAUCACCUUACCUGCAGUACUCAAAUUGGGUUCAAAGGUAGCCCAAGGGAUGCCCAUAGCACAAUGAAUCACAUAGUCAUAUUUCUUUCCCGAGGGGCUUUUCAAGGCAGCCCCCUCUGGAGUCUUGUAGUCAAGAACCUCGUUGGCGCCCAAGCUAUUGACAAAUUCUAGGUUGCGGGCCCCACAUGUUGCUGUUAUAUGCGCGUUUCCGAGCUUCGCCAGCUGGACAGCAUAGUGUCCCACACCACCAGAUGCAGCCGUGAUCAAUAUGUUCUUCGUUUCACCACUUCCAUCAAGCUUGAUGCUUGCAGACUGGGUAAGAGCUUGGUGAGCAGUAAGGGCAGCAACAGGGAGAGCUGCACCUUCUGGUGCUGUUACUUCUGGUGGUCUAGCAACUGUAAGGUUUUCUUUUGCCACAACAUAUUCAGCCAGGGCACCUCCAUUCUGUCAGUUAAUCAACCAUCAGUCACAUUUUUUCUUUUUUCCCCCACAAGAUGUGUGAUGCGGGAUUAGCAUGAAAAUGAGAGACACAAGUUAGAAAUAAAUUCUGACAUGCUCGUCAUAAAAGAGUUAGAAACGAAUUCUGAUAAGGUUUGCCAGGAAGCAAAGCAACUUACAGCAUGACUAAGUAUGGCCACGACCUUGUCACCGGUUUUGAACUUCUUUACAGAAGUUCCAGCCUGGACAACCUCACCUGCGACAUCAGAACCUGAACCAACAAAAAGAGAUGCCCAACUAUCAAUUCAUGCAUGCUACGGACAGUCUCAGCUAAAAUAAGAAUCGUUUAUUUCUUGAA
Molecule: long non-coding RNA, 1651 nt
Organism: Beta vulgaris subsp. vulgaris (sugar beet)
Lineage: Eukaryota; Viridiplantae; Streptophyta; Magnoliopsida; Caryophyllales; Amaranthaceae
Exons: 2
Source: RefSeq, a predicted model, not a curated record